ACCUUCGGGCCUCUUGCCAUCAGAUGUGCCCAGAUGGGAUUAGCUAGUAGGUGGGGUAACGGCUCACCUAGGCGACGAUCCCUAGCUGGUCUGAGAGGAUGACCAGCCACACUGGAACUGAGACACGGUCCAGACUCCUACGGGAGGCAGCAGUGGGGAAUAUUGCACAAUGGGCGCAAGCCUGAUGCAGCCAUGCCGCGUGUAUGAAGAAGGCCUUCGGGUUGUAAAGUACUUUCA
RNAcentral lists this ribosomal RNA (237 nucleotides) under Enterobacter cloacae. Its description in RNAcentral is "partial 16S ribosomal RNA". It matches the Rfam family "Bacterial small subunit ribosomal RNA", at positions 199 to 438 of the family's 1533-position model. RNAcentral also lists the same sequence under 1 other name. Lineage: Bacteria; Pseudomonadati; Pseudomonadota; Gammaproteobacteria; Enterobacterales; Enterobacteriaceae. The record is from RNAcentral.